This 65-nucleotide transfer RNA is filed under the name Camaena cicatricosa. RNAcentral describes it as "tRNA-Glu". The record is from RNAcentral. Lineage: Eukaryota; Metazoa; Mollusca; Gastropoda; Stylommatophora; Camaenidae.
GUUUAAAUAGUAUAAGAUAUAUAAUACGUUACUUUUUCGUAGUAAAGAUGGCCGCUCUUUAAAUA